Molecule: ribosomal RNA, 501 nt
Filed under: uncultured bacterium
Lineage: Bacteria
Description: partial 16S ribosomal RNA
Rfam family: Bacterial small subunit ribosomal RNA
Source: RNAcentral
AUUGAACGCUGGCGGCAUGCCUUACACAUGCAAGUCGAACGGCAGCACGGGUGCUUGCACCUGGUGGCGAGUGGCGAACGGGUGAGUAAUAUAUCGGAACGUACCUUCUUGUGGGGGAUAACGCAGCGAAAGCUGUGCUAAUCCCGCAUAAUCCCUAAGGGGGAAAGCGGGGGACCGUAAGGCCUCGCGCAAUUAGAGCGGCCGAUACCUGAUUGGCCAGUUGGUGAGGUAAAGGCUCACCAAGGCAACGAUCAGUAGCUGGUCUGAGAGGACGAUCAGCCACACUGGGACUGAGACACGGCCCAGACUCCUACGGGAGGCAGCAGUGGGGAAUUUUGGACAAUGGGGGCAACCCUGAUCCAGCAAUGCCGCGUGAGUGAAGAAGGCCUUCGGGUUGUAAAGCUCUUUUGUCAGGGAAGAAACAGCAGCUCUAACACAGUAUGCGAAUGACGGUACCUGAAGAAUAAGCACCGGCUAACUACGUGCCAGCCGCCGCCGUAA